Long non-coding RNA from Lolium perenne, 761 nucleotides. RefSeq lists it as uncharacterized. The record is from RefSeq and is a predicted model, not a curated record. NCBI's taxonomy places the organism in Eukaryota, Viridiplantae, Streptophyta, Magnoliopsida, Poales, Poaceae.
UAUUUGCGUGCAGCCUGCAUCAGGGCUUUCCAGCUAUGCAAAUGAACUUUGACUUUUCGACCGAGUUUGCUACCUCUUAUUUUUGUGACAUUUUUGUUUGGUUACCUUCGCUUGGAUCAUCUGAAUUUUCAUGCAGUUCUUUUCUGCAGGGCAGCUCUUCACGGUCGUUGGUUACAGUGGCAAUGCAGACUUCUUCAGUUAAAGGUGCCUCGCGGCGAGGCCAUCAAUGGAAGAUCCUUACGCACGUCGUUGUUGUAUGCGAAUACAGAGAUGAAGAACAUGGAAAAAACAUUAUGAAUUGAAUUUCAUCAUCGUCAACUGCUGAGGUCCAGAAUUUGGACUAUGGUGGCCACAGAAACCAUCGACUAUGCAAAUCUACUCCGAGGAAUGUGUUUUUUCUACGAAGACCACUGUAACAGCAGUGUGGAAUAUUAUCUACCUAUCUACUGUUAGCCGCCUAUCUACUACUACGGCAAACACUUCUAGCAGCUAAUGUAAUGUUAAGUACCUCUAUAAUUAUGGCAAGUACUUCUCUUGGUUUCGUUAGCAUGCCUACUAAACUUGGUCACUGGCCACCCACUGCAGUGCUGAUCAAACCUCCUGCUGCAGUACAUAUAUUUUAGACUGAACAUAUAAGCAAUGCUAGGGUCUUAAACGAUUUGCCGAUCUCUGUCCAGGUUGUAUGCUCCCGAAUUUCUGUUGAGGUGGAUACAUGUUGGUGCCAAAACUUACCAGAUUUAUGGAUAUAGUUUUUGUGGGUU